Molecule: long non-coding RNA, 506 nt
Filed under: Triticum aestivum (bread wheat)
Lineage: Eukaryota; Viridiplantae; Streptophyta; Magnoliopsida; Poales; Poaceae
Description: long non-coding RNA (TAES_LNC010001)
Source: RNAcentral
CAACAAGCCUGCACAACAACAUGCUCGCGCACACCGCAACCAUAGAGAUAUACCGCGACACAUACCAGGUCAGUGACUGACAUAUCAUCUAUUUCACCUUUCAUAUGCAUCCUCUUCUUCCUCGUCCCCCUUUUCAGGGCGAUCAGAAGGGCAAGAUCGGCAUUUUUAUAUUUUCCAUUACAGUUGGUCAUAAAAUUUUUACUUUGUUUUGCCAGGAGAGUUGUGCUUCAUGUAGCUAUUACAGCAGGAUAAUUGUAUGCUUGCGUUGAAGAAGAGGUUAUACCAACCGAGGCCAAGUGCACUGAACUUACCCAUGCCUCGUAUGGAUGGCUAUUCUAAAUUGGAUAACCUUGUUUCUAGAUUUCUCUUCAUUUCCUGAUUUUGUUAAUUUUCAACUAUUUCACAUUGCCAUGCAGGUUUGGGGCUCAAAUGUGGAGACCUCUCCUCUAGGGGACAACAUCACAAUGUAUUUUCAUAGAAUACUUAUGUAGGUCUUCUCCUCUCGG